RNAcentral lists this ribosomal RNA (434 nucleotides) under uncultured Clostridium sp. Its description in RNAcentral is "partial 16S ribosomal RNA". It matches the Rfam family "Bacterial small subunit ribosomal RNA", at positions 341 to 792 of the family's 1533-position model. Lineage: Bacteria; Bacillati; Bacillota; Clostridia; Eubacteriales; Clostridiaceae. The record is from RNAcentral.
ACGGGAGGCAGCAGUGGGGAAUAUUGCACAAUGGGGGAAACCCUGAUGCAGCAACGCCGCGUGAGUGAAGAAGUAUUUCGGUAUGUAAAGCUCUAUCAGCAGGGAAGAAAAUGACGGUACCUGAGUAAGAAGCCCCGGCUAACUACGUGCCAGCAGCCGCGGUAAUACGUAGGGGGCAAGCGUUAUCCGGAUUUACUGGGUGUAAAGGGAGCGCAGACGGUUAAGCAAGUCUGAAGUGAAAGCCUGGGGCUCAACCCCGGAACUGCUUUGGAAACUGUUUGACUUGAGUGCUGGAGAGGUAAGCGGAAUUCCUAGUGUAGCGGUGAAAUGCGUAGAUAUUAGGAGGAACACCAGUGGCGAAGGCGGCUUACUGGACUGUAACUGACGUUGAGGCUCGAAAGCGUGGGGAGCAAACAGGAUUAGAUACCCUGGUA